UUUACGAACACCGAUCAUCGGUAUGUACCCAUUAUGCAUUAUUGGUAUCGAAGUCUUAUGUUGAGCUGGAUAUCGAAAAAUUUCAAAAUGUAAGGCUGUAAUUUUGUACUUGUUUAGGUGUAGAACUAGGAUUAACAACUUGAUUGCUAGGAGCUAGGAAGAGAUUUUAGUAAUGAUGACCCUUUAAACUUAAACUAUAUCUCUAGUGCACUUCGAUCGGUUUUCUUUUCAAUUUUGAUAAAACCUAGUCGUGAUCUUUGUUUCAGAACUUCACUAAUUUAUUAAGUUUUGUAGUUUAUAUAGACGGAACAUGAGCAGAUACCAUUUGAUUAAUUAUAAUAUAUCCGAUUUGAAAUAUUAUUCUGUCGGAGUUUGAGUUCAACAUGGACACAUUUAUUAACAUCCCGCAUGAAUUUGUGUCGUCUUUACAAUUUUUUGCGCUGAAUUUGUAUGCUUAUUAAUACUGCCGCAUGAUAUCAGUAGCUGCUAUAAAACUAGAGUGUAUAGCAUGUGUAUUAUACGAUGUUUCCCACGUAAAAAUCGCAGGUUGUUUUGGUGCGGCUGGGCACUCUACUGGUGAUUGACACCAGAGACUGAGAAAAACUUUGACAUAAUUUUCAAGUUUGAUAUGACCUAAUAACUACCACAUUUACAGGAAGUAUGGUAAUACAUUCUUGUCAGCUGUCUGGGCAAAUCUUCUCUCGCAGAAUUGGAUUAAAAUUUAAUGUAUUUUAUUUCUCACUUCCAACGAUGUCGCAAUUAUUAGGCAGCUAUCAAGUCUCAAGAUAUGACAUAAUUUGAUAGAAUGUUAGUACCAACGCUAUCAGUGCAUUGAAGUCGAGUUCUCGAUACAGGGAGCUGCUGGUAAACUACCGUCGCUAUACAUCGACUAUGACUACAAUCCUACUUUUAAAAACAAACUACAUACAUAUCUCACAUUUGCGAGGACUACUUCAUCACAAGCAAAAAAUCGACAUUGGUAAAUAAAGGUAGGUUCUUU
Bolinopsis microptera is the source of this 1000-nucleotide long non-coding RNA. RefSeq lists it as uncharacterized. The record is from RefSeq and is a predicted model, not a curated record. The transcript is spliced from 3 exons. NCBI's taxonomy places the organism in Eukaryota, Metazoa, Ctenophora, Tentaculata, Lobata, Bolinopsidae.